CUGGAUACCGUUGGCGUUGCAGAUACAUUAUAACACGAGUGCAUUUUUAGUUGCGAUUUUAAAUUGUGUGUGUUCGUCGCACUUUUUACGGCAGUGUUGUGGGUGGAGUGACCAAUGCUCUGAUGUCAGUACAGAUGUAGCACACACACUUCAGCACCAUACAUCACUCCACAGGAUACGCCAAGCAGUAGCCUGCCUUGGACAAAUGUAUAAAAAGGAAAGUCAGCUGAUAUUAUUCUGAGGAUAAGUGAUUCCAAAUGACUGAGGUAUAGAAUAAAUACAAUGUGAUAACUAAUGAAGCAAAAGUUUCAAACUUAGACAGUGUUAGCAUACAAGAUCUGUCUGACCAUCAGUAUAAACUGUCCAACUGCCACAGAUGAGCAGUUACAUCUCAUCUUUUCCUUUAACAACUACCUGAGAUGUGCUGCCUGCCAUCGGACAUUGUAAGAGUUUAUGACAUUUGUAAUAGAGCCUAAUGAAAACACAUCACGUCACAGUGAGAAAGCCUUUUCACAUUAAACCACAGAUCUAUGGACACUGUCAGCUGAAUGUACAAAUAUUAACUCUUAACACAUCGUUGCAGUUGCCUUUAUUGGACAGUGUAUGACAAGAAAG
Long non-coding RNA from Schistocerca nitens (vagrant locust), 615 nucleotides. RefSeq lists it as uncharacterized. The record is from RefSeq and is a predicted model, not a curated record. The transcript has 4 exons. Lineage: Eukaryota; Metazoa; Arthropoda; Insecta; Orthoptera; Acrididae.